GUUUCCUGUUUGUUCUACAGUUUAAACGUUGAACUUCAUGUGACUUCAGUGACUUUGAGCUUUGAGGUGCUUCCUGUUUCCUUUAGCGGAUGUGACAUGUGGUUAAGACGAUUCUAUAUGAGCUGAUGAUUUUCACUUCACUGGGCUCAGGUUCAGCCUCCUGAGGUGGUCAAGAGCGACUCUGUUUCUCCUGAGGUGGUCAAGAGCGACUCUGUUUCUCCUGAGGUGGUCAAGAGCGACUCUGUUUCUCCUGAGGUGGUCAAGAGCGACUCUGUUUCUCCUGAGGUGGUCAAGAGCGACUCUGUUUCUCCUGAGGUGGUCAAGAGCGACUCUGUUUCUCCUCGGAGAGAAGAGGACGAAAAGGCUUCAUCAAAUGAGCACAGAAACAUUUAGAAGUUGUGUGAAGUUCUCCUGAUUUCAACAAAAAGACGACUUCCUUUUGACUGACCGACUGUUUGUGUCUCGCUCCUUCUGAUGCACAGACGCUACGAGAGACGCUCAGUUUAAUGUCCCAAAGAAAAAUAAUGAAAACCCGGAAAUUUACAUCAUUUUAUAAAAAAAAACAAAAAACAAAAACGGACGGCCAGGACACGACGUGAAAAAUGGACAUGUCCGGGGAAAAACAGACGUUUGGUCACCCUGUGAAAAUAAGUUUGUGAACGGUCAAGUUCAGGAUUAUUUUUAUGAACCUGUUUUUCUUUUGUUCAAAACCUGUAACAGAUAAUAUUGGAAAUAACAGUGUAAUGACUAAAGUAUUAGUGUGUGUGGUCAUAGAGCAGAAGCAGCACAGUUCAGUGUAAACUGUUGUUCACGGUCACUCAUGACUUUUUCUGUCCUUACAGAAUUAAAGUGUCUCUGUUCCACCAAA
Long non-coding RNA from Boleophthalmus pectinirostris (great blue-spotted mudskipper), 868 nucleotides. RefSeq lists it as uncharacterized. Lineage: Eukaryota; Metazoa; Chordata; Actinopteri; Gobiiformes; Gobiidae. The transcript has 3 exons. The record is from RefSeq and is a predicted model, not a curated record.